This 810-nucleotide ribosomal RNA is filed under the name uncultured beta proteobacterium. RNAcentral describes it as "bacterial SSU rRNA". It matches the Rfam family "Bacterial small subunit ribosomal RNA", at positions 76 to 883 of the family's 1533-position model. The record is from RNAcentral. Lineage: Bacteria; Pseudomonadati; Pseudomonadota; Betaproteobacteria.
GGGGCAACCUGGCGGCGAGCGGCGAACGGGUGAGUAAUGCAUCGGAACAUGUCCAUUCGUGGGGGAUAGCCCGGCGAAAGCCGGAUUAAUACCGCAUACGCCCGAGAGGGGAAAGCCGGGGACCGCAAGGCCUGGCGCGAAUGGGUUGGCCGAUGCCCGAUUAGCUAGUUGGUGAGGUAAAGGCUCACCAAGGCGAUGAUCGGUAGCUGGUCUGAGAGGAUGAUCAGCCACACUGGGACUGAGACACGGCCCAGACUCCUACGGGAGGCAGCAGUGGGGAAUUUUGGACAAUGGGGGCAACCCUGAUCCAGCCAUUCCGCGUGAGUGAAGAAGGCCUUCGGGUUGUAAAGCUCUUUUGUCCGGAACGAAACGGUUUGCGUGAAUAGCGCCGACUACUGACGGUACCGGAAGAAUAAGCACCGGCUAACCACGUGCCAGCAGCCGCGGUAAUACGUAGGGUGCGAGCGUUAAUCGGAAUUACUGGGCGUAAAGCGUGCGCAGGCGGUUUUGUAAGCCAGAUGUGAAAGCCCCGGGCUUAACCUGGGAAUGGCAUUUGGGACUGCAAGGCUGGAGUGUGGCAGAGGAGACUGGAAUUCCUGGUGUAGCAGUGAAAUGCGUAGAUAUCAGGAGGAAUACCGAUGGCGAAGGCAGGUCUCUGGGCUGACACUGACGCUCAUGCACGAAAGCGUGGGGAGCAAACAGGAUUAGAUACCCUGGUAGUCCACGCCCUAAACGAUGUCGACUGGUUGUUGGGGGUUUGACACUCUCAGUAACGAAGCUAACGCGUGAAGUCGACCGCCUGGGGAGUAC